ACGCUUGAAGUCAGUCGCGUCGUCCAGGGAUCAACCUUGCUUUUGCUUGGUGCACUUUCUGGUUUGACGGGUCAGCAUCAAUUUUGACCAUAUAUUGGAAAAAGAUUGAGGGAAUGUGGCAUCCUUGGAUGUGUUAUAGCCCUUGGUCGCAUACAAUGGUUGGGAUUGAGGAACUCAGCACGCCGCAAGGCCGGGUGUCUUUUACACCACGUACGUGCUUAGGAUGCUGGCAAUAUGGCUUUAAUCGACCCGUCUUGAAACACGGACCAAGGAGUC
Molecule: ribosomal RNA, 276 nt
Filed under: Cortinarius evernius
Lineage: Eukaryota; Fungi; Basidiomycota; Agaricomycetes; Agaricales; Cortinariaceae
Description: partial large subunit ribosomal RNA
Source: RNAcentral